CAGAAUAACCGGUCAAUCGCGUUUUCCGAAAGGUAAUGAGGAAAGUCCGGGCUUCGCAGGGUAGGGUGCUGGAUAACGUCCAGGCUUAAUAGAAGCAAUUCUAUUAGGACAGAUAGUGCAACAGAAAGUAUACCGCCGAGCAAUCGGUAAGGGUGAAAAAGUGUGGUAAGAGCACACUAAUGAACUGGCGACAGUUUCAUUCGGUAAACCUCACUCGAAGCAAGAUUAAACAGAGGGAGAAGUGACCCGCUUCGUUAUUUUACCUCGGGUAAAUCGCUAGAGGCUGGGAGUAAUCCUAGUCCAAGAUAGAUGAUUGACGCUUCUUUUUAAGAAGUACAGAACCCGGCUUAUAGGUUAUUCUGCUUA
Molecule: RNase P RNA, 366 nt
Filed under: Candidatus Rifleibacteriota bacterium
Lineage: Bacteria; Candidatus Rifleibacteriota
Description: RNase P RNA component class A
Rfam family: Bacterial RNase P class A
About the family: Ribonuclease P (RNase P) is a ubiquitous endoribonuclease, found in archaea, bacteria and eukarya as well as chloroplasts and mitochondria. Its best characterised activity is the generation of mature 5'-ends of tRNAs by cleaving the 5'-leader elements of precursor-tRNAs.
Source: RNAcentral